AACGAACGCUGGCGGCAUGCCUAAUACAUGCAAGUCGAACGAGGUGCCUGGCUUCGGCUGGACCACCUAGUGGCGGACGGGUGAGUAACGCGUAGGAACCUGCCUUGUAGUGGGGAAUAACAGCUGGAAACGGCUGCUAAUACCGCAUACGCCCCUUCGGGGGGAAAGAUUUAUCGCUAUGAGAGGGUCCUGCGUUCGAUUAGCUAGUUGGUGAGGUAACGGCUCACCAAGGCUACGAUCGAUAGCUGGUCUGAGAGGAUGAUCAGCCACACUGGGACUGAGACACGGCCCAGACUCCUACGGGAGGCAGCAGUAGGGAAUAUUGGACAAUGGGGGAAACCCUGAUCCAGCAAUGCCGCGUGCGUGAAGAAGGCCUUAGGGUUGUAAAGCGCUUUCACCUGUGAUGAUGAUGACAGUAACAGGAGAAGAAGCCCCGGCUAACUCCG
This 446-nucleotide ribosomal RNA is filed under the name uncultured Rhodospirillaceae bacterium. Its description in RNAcentral is "bacterial SSU rRNA". It matches the Rfam family "Bacterial small subunit ribosomal RNA", at positions 29 to 505 of the family's 1533-position model. The record is from RNAcentral. Lineage: Bacteria; Pseudomonadati; Pseudomonadota; Alphaproteobacteria; Rhodospirillales; Rhodospirillaceae.